This 3431-nucleotide long non-coding RNA is filed under the name Fukomys damarensis (Damara mole-rat). RNAcentral describes it as "lncRNA (ENSFDAG00000029349.1)". Lineage: Eukaryota; Metazoa; Chordata; Mammalia; Rodentia; Bathyergidae. The record is from RNAcentral.
CCAUCGUCUCUGCUGAGCCACCCAGGGGUAAACAUGGGUGGCACGUGGCAUUUAGUGAAAAGCGACUUCGGGGAAGCCCCUGGGGUCCAGCUGGACACCAUGCCCAGCCACAGUGGCCGCUGUGUACAGGGGCAAGGCAGCAUGGUGCCAGGGGGGAUGUCUCUGUGGAGGGAAAGUGGAUUAAGUGCUCCGCUCAGGCCACUGAGCACGCCAGCCCAGACAUGGAACGCCGGCAUCUGCCGAGUUCACUGAACAUCAGCACAGAUUGUGUUUUGGCAGUUGAGGUAACGGCUGGCGGGAGGCGGGGAAUCUGUGAGCGGCAGUGCAAACUAAUGAUGUGUAAUGAUCGAGGCGCUUGGCUCCGACGCCAGGGGCUGGGACGGGCAGCUGCGUGUGUACAGCGUGUGCCUUAAAGAUUUCCCUCCAGCGUUUACAGGGACCUCCACGUAUGGCGUGUGUGUGCAUCGGGGAAGGGUUGAGAUUUUUCACCUGUUUUCAAACUUCUACUUUAUUGAUGAAAGCAUCGCCUCCUCGUCUCAGCUUCUUCAAGACUGCAUGGCAAAAUCCAGAAAGAAAAAGGGCCCAAAGUUGAUGACUCACCCGAACUCGCCAGAGCAGCCUGUGAACCACUCUGGCCCAUGAUAGAUCAGAGGCUCUGUGAGAUACAAAACACGGUUGAGCCUUUUGCUGCACCCUGGAACAGAGCAAGGCACACAACAGGAAAUCAGUGCACAAUGCUAGUUGGUAAACCAAUUAAAAAAAAGACUGAUUGCCUUUUUUACAACUACCUCUCUUUUAUGGCUUAUAUCUAGAUGUUCCCCCAAAGCUUCGUGCACUCAUAAGUGGGGAAUUGGGGAGAUUGCUGGAUAAUGGAUGAGUGAUGUUGGACUAGCCCACUGAUUGGUUUAGCAUAGUUUGGAUAUGGAUGGUGGAUUUACUGAAAAGGUUAGUGGGUGGCGUCAACCAAUAGACUUGUAGCCAGUGGAAUAAAGAGAGAAAAAAGGAAGGCUCGCUGCUUCCUGCCUGACACACUAUGGACUGUUUCUCCUCUGUGAUGCCCCCUUGCCAUGCUGCCCUACCUUGGAGCCAGCUGACUAUGGACUGAAACCUCUACAAACUGUGAGCUAAAAUAAACCUUUCCUCCUCUAACUUGUGGGUGUUGGGUAUUUUGUCCCAGCAACAAGAAAGUAACUGACACUAUUAUGCACUCUUUAGGAAACAAGGAAUUAUUCUGCUUUGAUGUUUUUGUGCUAGAUAUGCCAUCUCCCCACUAUUCAGGGGCUAUUCUACUUACUGGCUCCCAGGUUCCCAUCGAGUUUGGACUUUGGAAAAUGAUAUUGUCUUCUCUAUGACCAUGUCCUAUCUUGCCCGGUGUUGACUGGCCAUUUAUUUUCAUUAUCUUUCUUUUGGUCAUUCUUUUGUGCAUCUGUUUACGCCAUGCAUAUGUGAACUCCUUCAAGAAACAUCAAAGGACAAUGAAGAAAAGUGGACAUACAUUGAAUCAGCAAAUAGAGAAACGCUCCAAGGCUAGAAUAUGGGCCCCAGCUGCCGGGGCUACUGUACUAAUGAAUUUGUGUGUUAGUGAUGGUUUGUCCUUCCUGAAAAACUACAUCAAAGCUUUAAAACUCAUGUCAUUGUGAGCCAUCAUUGAUUAAUUUAAGAAACCAGUUCUGAAGUGAUAUAGUUUCAGAAUGUGGAUACUGAGCUCCCAUGUCCAAUGAACCACCCACCAUCAUAACCAGUCUCGUGGGUGUGUAGUUCCUGUCCACUUAUUCUAUAAAAGAUAAUGUAGAACAGAAAAGUCACUUAGGAGCUUCCAAUAUGAUAGUCCCUAGCCGGGGACUUAGUUCAGUGGUUCAACUGCCUGCCUCACAAUAGUCGCUGCCCACCUCCAGCUUCUCAGUGAUCUGCCUAUGCCAGCUUCAUCACAGAAGAAAUAAACCCAGUUUAGAUCGAAGACAUUCCCCCAUAUUCUCACGUGUUUGAAAGAUAACUGGAUAAUAGGGUUGCUUGUUUGUCUGUUGAUGUGUCCUUUGAUGCAUUCAGUAGCUAAACGUGCUGUUAGGAGGUAGGGCUUGGUUGGAGGUGUACUCUUGUCCCCAGUGCCUCCCUCCUCCCUUGGCUUUCUGGCGGCCAUGGGGUGAGCAGCUUUUCUGUGCCCAGGACCUUCCACAAUGCCAUUUCUGCUUUGGACCAGCCAACCAUGCAACCAUGAGCCAAAAUACAUUUCCCCACCUUUAAAUUGUGGGUGUUGGGUAUUUUGUCUAGCGAUUGGAAAGUGACCAAGACAGUCAGUGGACCACUGAGAGAUGAAGUGAUACCUCCUCGGCACAUGUAAUAUCCUAAACAGGACACGGGGGCAAUGUUAGGAACUGCAAAUCUGGGCCUUUGGUGGUUCCCCACCCCACAGACAUUCAGGAAAUCGAUUCAGUAAAGUACCUGUAUACCGCUGGCCUUUCAUGGCAGCUCCUUGCCCUCUGCCUGGGAGGUGUAGUCUUCUUCUGCCCUUGGUUCCCAGGCACCACACCAUGGUGGAACUCGUGGGAGUGGAAGAUGACAAUGGUGCGGCUUCCCAACUAACUGCAGUGCCUCUCUGGCUUCCUGCUCUCACUCUGCUGUGGCCAUGGUGGCCAUCGCUCGGGCACUCCCCAACAGAAGCACAUCAGGUUUCUGACACGCUUCUCAUCAUUAUUUAAGAAAGGGUUCCGAAGGUGGACACCAUAUCGAGUUAGAUUUACUUAGGGUUUCUCUAACCCACUAAUCUACCCACUAAUCUCUACUCAUCCAUCCACCCGUGUCUACUUUGAAAUUCAGCAUGGGCAUAUUGUAAAUUAACCUUUGUGAAAACAAACCUUUAUUAUUUCAAACUCAAAGGAAAAUGCGAGCUGUGAAUUUAAAUUGUGGCAUGAGUGUACGUUCAGAUUUUUCUGCUUAAUGUUUGGUCAAAUAAGGUAAAGAUGCUGUCGAAUUUCAAAUGCCUAAGACAAUAGAACAAUUUCAUGAAGAACUGUCACAUGUGACAAAGGCCAGUGAACUGUGAUUUCCUGUUAAAGAAAAAUUCAAAAAACUUUCUGAAAAGUAGUUUCAGAAGCUAGUCAUGGGUAAUUUGUUUUAUCUUUAACAAAUCCAAGAAUGGAAAAUAUAUAUGAUCAUCCUUUAGAAGAUGAAAAAGAAUCUGAUAAAAUUCAGUAUUUAAAACUUAAUAAAAAUAGGAUUAAAAGACUUUUCUUAGUAUGGUAGGAUACAUCUGACUUGGCCUCAAAAACAAUUAUCAAGUGAAACUAGAUAAUAAAAUCUCGUACGGCAGGGUGUAAGUUAAUAUGAAGAGAUCUAUAGCUUUAGAGGAUUACCCCACAUUUAAUUAGCACUAAGUAAAUAGAAACAAACUUAACAAGAAAGUUAAGGUCUAUAUGAGAAAUAUUUUUAAAAUG